Molecule: long non-coding RNA, 420 nt
Organism: Stegastes partitus (bicolor damselfish)
Lineage: Eukaryota; Metazoa; Chordata; Actinopteri; Pomacentridae
Exons: 3
Source: RefSeq, a predicted model, not a curated record
GCUUCCAUCAUGCCAGCCUGUAAAUUCCAGGUCAUGAUCCAGAAAUCGUAGGAGGCUCCUCCCACUCUGCACGCUCCUUCGCCUUUAUACAUCCUUGAGUUGUUGCCAUUAAAGGGAAACGUCCUAACCUGUAAAAUAUACUGCUCUCUGCACUUGAGGGAUGUUUGUGUGACCAACAUUCAGGCCCUGUUCUCUGAUAAGUCUGACAGAUGUUAUGGUCUGAAGGUGUUUUCUGAGCGUGAUUGAAGGCUGAUGUAUUGUGUGUAGCCUGAAAUCUGUGUCUCACUAACUCUGGUGUCUCAUGAUGGUUAUACAAGUGCUUUGGUGCCCCCUGGUGGUACAGAGGAACCUGCACAGUGUCCGUUUGAUUUGAAACACUAUUUAAAUUGUUGUUCAAUAAAAUCUAAGAAACACUGAUAA